RNAcentral lists this ribosomal RNA (384 nucleotides) under uncultured bacterium. RNAcentral describes it as "bacterial SSU rRNA". It matches the Rfam family "Bacterial small subunit ribosomal RNA", at positions 123 to 541 of the family's 1533-position model. The record is from RNAcentral.
AACAUACCUCAUAGUACGGAAUAACUGCGGGAAACUGUAGCUAAUACCGUAUAUUCCAGAAAUGGGAAAGAUUUAUCGCUAUGAGAUUGGCCCGCGCAAGAUUAGCUUGUUGGUAAGGUAACGGCUUACCAAGGCUCCGAUCUUUAGCUGGUUUGAGAGGAUGAUCAGCCACACUGGGACUGAGACACGGCCCAGACUCCUACGGGAGGCAGCAGUAGGGAAUAUUGGACAAUGGGGGAAACCCUGAUCCAGCAAUGCAGCGUGAGUGACGAAGGCCUUAGGGUUGUAAAACUCUUUCAUCGGUGAGGAUAAUGACAGUAGCUGAAGAAGAAGGACCGGCUAAUUCCGUGCCAGCAGCCGCGGUAAUACGGAAGGUCCUAGCGU